GUGCCAGCAGUCGCGGUAAUACGUAAAGGGCAAGUAAUACACAUAAUAGGCAUAAAGGGUCAGUAAUACUGAUAAUAUAUAUAUUAUAUAUAUAUUAUCUAGAAUGUAUAUAGAUAUUAUGUAUGAGGCAUAUGAGUAGCGGUUAAAUGUAUAGAUACAUAUGUUACAGCUAUCAUUAGUAGUAGUAUAAUAGUAUAUACAUUGACGUUGAGUGACGAAACUUAAGGUAUCGAAUAGGACUAGUUAACCUAUUAGUCUUAAGUGUAAACGAUGUAUACUAAUAACUUAUACUAUAUAUGAGUUAUUAAGCUAAUGCGUAAGUAUAUCGCCAGGGGAGUAUAUGUUAACCAACGAAACCCAAAACAAUAGACAGUCUAAGAUAUAACAGUGGAUUAUGUUAUUUAAU
RNAcentral lists this ribosomal RNA (406 nucleotides) under Blastobotrys peoriensis. RNAcentral's name for it is "SSU rRNA". It matches the Rfam family "Bacterial small subunit ribosomal RNA", at positions 505 to 950 of the family's 1533-position model. Lineage: Eukaryota; Fungi; Ascomycota; Dipodascomycetes; Dipodascales; Trichomonascaceae. The record is from RNAcentral.